This is a long non-coding RNA of Humulus lupulus (European hop), 971 nucleotides long. RefSeq lists it as uncharacterized. Lineage: Eukaryota; Viridiplantae; Streptophyta; Magnoliopsida; Rosales; Cannabaceae. The record is from RefSeq and is a predicted model, not a curated record. The transcript is spliced from 4 exons.
UCCUCCGAGACAGACUAGCGCUCGCCGCUCGGACGUCCCUCGCGGGACUAGUGUAUAUAUAUAUAUGUAUAUACAAUAUCUAUGAAUAUAUAUAUAUAUAUAUAUCUACACACGGGUGAUAUUAAGAUUUGGUAUGGAUGCACGCUUGGAGUUCCACUUCCAGAGAUCAUGGCAUCAAUAUAUAGGGGAGACGUGACGCCUCUAAUAUCGCGGCCCAUUGCCCCUAAUAAUGUUAUACACCCAGCCUCCAUCGUCCCCUCCGCUCACUCCUGAAACUUAACGAACUGUCCCUUCCCCUUUCUCUUCUCUCUUUAUCUCUAGAAGAGGCUCCACCACCACGAGGCAGCGCCGGUCGCCUUCAACACCACCACCGGAUCCGCCUCCACCAACACUAGAGCAUAUACAAGAUUGAAGGCAAAAGGGAAAAUUGAAGGAGAAAUUCACCGAGGUAAAGACGACCGCACCAAGUGUCAAGUAUCACAACCAAUUGCAUCAAUUUACUACCGGCAAGAUAGAAAAAUUGUGCGAUUUCUUGACAUCUAAUGUGUUUCCUUCACCAUCUAAGCAUCCUACCCAACAAUAAAAUCAUCGACAAGAUGACUAAAUUGCAUGCAUGGAACUUAGUAUUAAUUGUGAUUGAUAUGGGAGAAAAAAAAUGUUAACUAAAAAUCACAAUUUUCAAUAAUUGACCUGUGAAAGCUUACAACAGGUAAGCAUAAUACAUUCAAUGUGUAGUUUUAAUCUCAUGACCAUCAAAUAAGGUCAAUUGCGCAUUUUAGAAUUUCUAACAUUACCAAAAUAGAAACAAGAAAUUGGUGAUAAUAUUCAUGAUUAAUGCACCAAUAAUAAUCGGUAGUUUAUUUCAAAUUAUCCAUAGUAUAUGCCUAAAAGAAUUUAUAAUAAUAACAAAAAUUCACAAAAUUACAAGAGGCAUAUACAACAAAAUUAUGGAAAAUAAAUCGAGGUUGGCC